Xyrauchen texanus (razorback sucker) is the source of this 276-nucleotide long non-coding RNA. RefSeq lists it as uncharacterized. NCBI's taxonomy places the organism in Eukaryota, Metazoa, Chordata, Actinopteri, Cypriniformes, Catostomidae. The record is from RefSeq and is a predicted model, not a curated record. The transcript has 3 exons.
GCGGAGUUAACUGGCUGCAUUGCUGGUCUGACAAAACAACUGGAAAUAAUGGAGAAUUAGCAACUAGAGAAACUUCUGUGAAGAUGGCACCUUACAAAUUUAUGAAGUGAUACACUGAAAUCAAGCCUCAGCACCACCAAGAUGCCACUGUUGGGCCCUUGAGCAAGGCCCUUAACUCCAAAUUGCUCAAGGGGGAUUGUCCCUGUAAUAAGUGCACUAUGGGACAAAGCGGGGCUCCACAGGGGGGCUUCCAGUUGGUGGCGGACUAUCAAUGUG